UCACAGUUCUGCAAAAAGAAAUGUUUGAAGAGAAUUUGAGUUGAAAUUUAUCACAAACAUUCACUUUUGCUGUCACUCCAGGACCAGCCACAGGAUUGCAUGAAAACAAGGGUUUUUAAGGGUGGGGAUAGUUGUCUCUACCAACACCAGUCCUAAUUUGUAGGUGGGCUAAUAUGAAAUGGUACUGCAGACUGGUGGGUGCAACUUGUCCAAGGAUGUUUGGAGUGGACUAUGGCUUACCUGAUGUCCCCAGAGAGGGCAAAGCACAUGGUCUUGGUUUCUUUUCUUCUCUCUUUCUUGCAAUAAUUCAAGGAGGAGAGUGUGAGCAAGUGGAGGACUGAGUCUCUUACACCAUGGCCUGCAUCACCCAGAUGCAAAAAUGGGUUUUGUAGAUGACUGUGACAUCAUUGAAGAAAAGUACCACUAUGACCUCUGAGAAGAAAAGAGAAUGUACCUUUCCCAAGCUCCAGGGAGUCUGCAUGGUAGCUAAGAAAUUGAAAAAAUUUCUGGCACUGGCAGAAGUUCAAAAAACAGCCUUGGGACCUGACAAGUGGUCCUUCCUGUCAGAGAAAUUUACUCCUAGACAGAGGAGCAAGCUGGUAUUCAGACACUGACAGCAGCAGAUACUCAUAUUGGGUUUGCCUGAUUGAAAGUGAUGUGGUUGAUGAUAGCUCAUCAGGAAGCAGGAGGGCACCCUCCCAGAGCCUCAUUGUCCAUGUAAGCAUCACCAAAGUGGAGGUGGGCAUUGAAAACUCAGACCUUGGCUUUGUGUGAGACUCCCCCGCGAGACACCAGGCACUGCAGCUACUGUCAUCUUCUGUGGUUGCUUCACAGGGUGUCCUGCUGUCCUCACUCCAUGUCUUUCCCUGAGCAUGUUAGAAGUGGCAGCAGUGGUGCACCUUAAGCCUCCUGCAAAAGGUGAAGGACAAACAAAGGCAUUGUUAUCAAGUUGUGUGCUUUAGUUUGGAUUAAAACUGUAAAACUUCAGGCACAGUUUUUCAAGGAGAAUCUAUGAAUGACUAAGUGGGUCUGUGCACAGACUCAUAAGCAAAGGAUUUGUCAAUGGGGAGAUUAAGUUCAUUGUAGCUGUCUCUUUGUUAAGUGAUUGGGUCCUUUGAAUAUGUAAGCAAUAUAUUAUGAGGCCUAGAACAAGUAAAAUUAGAUGGAUAUUCAGUUAGGUAGGAUCUCCUUCAUUUUUGUUUGUAAGUGGUGAAGAGACAUACAGGAUCCCCUUGGUUCUGGACCCACUCUGGAUUUCUUUUGGUGGUUGCUCAACUCCUCUUACUGUCUAUAAACAGAAUCUGAGGAGAUUGUCUUUUGUCAGAGUUACAUAUGUGCCUGAAGUUAUAUGGUGUCACAGUUCCAUUUAGCUUUCCUGUAUGAAGAUUUAGAAGAACAGAGAACCUAAAAAAUGCUAAUUUCUUGUCUACUGGAUUUAAAUUAAGCAUACAGGGAUCCAUGCCUCAAAUAAUCCGGUUUGUACAGUUCAAACACAUUCUGCAACUUGAAAAAGAAAGACCCAAUUCAACAACUACUUUAUUUCCUCACCCCAUUACAAUCGUUGCAAUGCAAUUAUGUUAAAUCCAACACAGGAAACCAAUUAUUUUUGUUGAUACAGUGGAAUAUUUACUGCUAGAGAGUGAGAAUAGAGGUCUACCAAGCCAAAGAGAGCAAAUGAUGACUGGUCCUUCAAAUAACUCUAAUUUCUGUAAAAGCAAAUAUCAGCCCUUUCUUUUAUCUUUGUGUAUCAUAUCAUACAGAAGGAGGUCUUGACAUUCUUUGAAAGCUACUCAGAAGCCUCCACAUGAGCUGUGCAUAAAGAGCUGUAGGUAGCACAUGAAAAGUCUCUAAAAACAAUUCUGCCACCGUGGCUAGAUCCACUGGGAUCAAAUAAGGUAGUCUUUAAUUAUAGCCCCCCUGAAAAGCUAUGCAUAUGCAGAAUGUUUCCAGAAUUUGACUAUACCUUGAGACCUGUUUUUGAAGACAAGCCUUUCACAUGUUUUAAAUGGGAUUUAGCCAAUUUAAAGGGAUGAGCUUACACAGUUGCCUUUAUGAUCAGAACCAAAGAUGUUGUAUGACUGAUUUUUUAAAAAUUUAACAUAUGUGCACACUUUGUGGGCAGAGACUUAUCCUAUUGAAAUAAAAACACCUCUGUGAAAAGUUAAGCAUGUCCAUAAGCUUUUGCAGGAUGGGCCUGAUUUUGUGAAAAUGUACUGAAAAACCUGUGUAGUACCUCCUCAGUUCACUUCUAUCAGAAAGCGUGUUAGAGCCUAUGUGUAUUGGCGUGGAAUUGCAGUGUUAGCUGUAUAAAAAAUAGCAUUUUCUUGCAAAAAAUUUCCUGGUUGUUUUAGGAGAUUUUUUUUCUUUGACAGAAAAUGUAUUGAUCUGAUCCUGGGAAAGUGACUGUAGUGCUCAACAGAACAGUUCCUGCCACAUAAUUUUGAUGUUCAUAGGUUGUGUAAUAUUUCAUAUGAAAAGCCUCUGUCAACUUCUACUGACUGCUGAAUCUUAAAAUGAUUCAUCCACACAAAUGUAUUUUUCAGGAAAGCUUCUGAAGCAGGAGACUGACCUCACUGCAAAAUACAAUUUAAUGAAACAUAUGUUGAUUAUAAAAAACCAUCUGUAAUAAACUAGGAGAGGAGAGACUGGUUCCACUGACAGCAAAUGAAGGUUUUCCCAUUAGUUCCCUGAAGUUCGGAGUUUCAGUCUCAAGACAUAAUUACAGGCGCUAAAUUAGUUAAAAGAAGAAAUGAUAUAACACUGUCCUAAGAUGACUAUUCGAAGUGAGCAAUUGCUGCUCUAGUUGCCAUAGGGAUACUGAAUUAAUGCAGAUGAGGUAGGAGAUAUCCAGAAGGCUCUGUGAACACGAGUUUCUCUUCAGCAGCCCAGGGUGACCAAAAGCUGGGAGAUUUCUGCACUUCCAUCGUGCUGGGGGCAGAUGUUGAAAUGGCUGUCUGCGUGCUGCACCUUGCUCACCACUGAAAGUGGAACUUGGCUCUUAGGUGCUUUUGAAAACAUUACCACAAGUUCCCUAGGAGCAAUACUUAGAAACAGCUACUUGCUGCAAAGACUAAAAAACCACCAAUACUGGAUUCAUAAUAAAUCCA
This is a long non-coding RNA of Pipra filicauda (Wire-tailed manakin), 3107 nucleotides long. RefSeq lists it as uncharacterized. The transcript is spliced from 3 exons. Lineage: Eukaryota; Metazoa; Chordata; Aves; Passeriformes; Pipridae. The record is from RefSeq and is a predicted model, not a curated record.